CGGGCCGUGCCGGGCCGGGCCGGGCCGGGCCGGGCCGGGCCGGGCCGGGCCGGGCCGGGCGGGUCGCGGUGCCCCGCGGCUGCUGCCCGCCCCGCUGGCUCGGGGGCUGCCGUGGCCGCUGGAGCCGCCCAGGGCCCCGCUCGGGGCACGCCGCGUGUCCCGGAGCCCGGAGCGGCGGGCGGCCCGGCGGGGGCUGCGGCACUGCCGGGGGCUGAUGCUGCUUCCCUUGGUGGCCGAGAGCGGCAGCGUGGCAGGGCUGAGUCACAGGGGCUGGCUGCGUGCCACUCCGUAGAAGUCGUGCCUUGGACUUUCUAUUAGGCAUUCCUUUCAAGAAAGUAUCGUUGGUUGUUUUGGCACCCUCCGGUCCUUGCUGUUGCACCUUACUCAGUUCUUCACAAUUCUCGCAUUCAGGUGCUGUAGGAUCACCCCUGUGGUCACUGAUCCUCUGGUGAGUGGUGCACCCCUGGUGAUCCCCUGGAGCUCAGAGUGAGCCCCUCUGCUGCUGCUGUGUGAGUCUGCAGUAAAACCUCUCCCGAGGAAAAGGAACGUGUUCCAGCAGCCUGCAGUGGAAUGGGCAGUGGUUGGAAGGGCUUUGUUGAGUGUGAGUGAAGCCCGCAGGGGCGGUGUGUGGUCUGCGGGUGCAGCCCUGGCAGCUGGCUGUCCCCAGUGGGGUGCUGCUCACCAGGCCCCACCUGGUGUCUGCCAGGUGCACAUUCCUCUCACGCACCUCCACAGCCUGCGGGCUGCUCCUGAGCUGCUGUGCAGGUCAGCCUGGGCGUGCAGCAGGCAUUUCAUCUCCCAGCACAGCCCCGGGCUGGCCUUUGGUCCCCUCUGUGUUCUAGACUCGGCCCAGGUAACCCUUGGUGCUUCCCCAGAGCGGUGCUGCAGCUCCUGGAAACUCUGGGGAGGAUCUCUGAGUGCUUCCAGCCUCUUGUCCUGGGAGCUGUCUGUCCAUGGCUGCUUAGCCCAUCCUUUGGAAACUGGAUAACUGAGCUCCCCUGGAAGCUUUUAAGCCAUUUCUCCACUUGUUCUUGCUGCUGCUUUCAGUGCCCAUCUGAUUCCCCCUCCUGGAAGUACUCUGGGAGCAGAGCUAGCACAUCACCCAGCUUGCUGUGAGCCAGCCGGCAUCAGUCACGGGCUGGCAAAUUCUCUUCAAAACCAGCUGUAAGAGUUGCUGAAAGGCCCCAGUGUCACUGCAGAAAUAUUUUAUUUCCUUGAUCUGUGCUCAGGUUUUGGGUAUGAUGUGGGCUUGCUCGCCUUCAUCACUUCUGUAACAAACCCACAUCUGAAUUAUUCACAUUACACUUACUCCCAACAUGCCAGUAGCCAAUUCUAUAAAGGCCAGACUGUAAUGUUGGUUUUAAUCCUAUCUAUUUAAUCCCAACUCACUGCUGGAUUGAGGUGUGUGUUGUUUUUUUCAGUGACACAAUGAAAUUGCUCUCCAUUUUGAAAUGCUACACUAUGCUAUUAAUUGCUGCUGUUCCUGAAGAAGGAAAUGUAUCACGUUCAAAGUAACAAACAAUCUUUAUGCUGUUGAGUUUAAAUAUGGAAUGUGAUCUCUCAAGUGCCAGUGCCCUACUACAUGUAUUAAUUUAAUCUCUCCUAUUACCAGCCAGCUCUAGGUAAUUAGUUAGUCUGCAGUGCAAGGAGUCUGUGGGAAGUAACUGAAAGAAUCAAAUUGGUUUUCUUGGAAAUGAAUUCUGGUGCAUGGCUACAGACCACUGAGGGAUCUGUGGGCUGGAAAGUUUGAAAAUCCCUGGCUGAGGAUUUAGGCACAGAAGUUAAAUAAAUCAUGAGAGGAUGCAACACAUAAUAUUUGAAUUAUGAAGUGUUGCAUUGCAUUGGGUGGUUGUGCUUCAUGAAUGGUAGUGGUUUAGAUUUUCAGGAAAAAUAUUAAUGUAUUAAUGUUUUCCUGAAACAAGGUUUGGUUGGGCAACAUGAAGGGAUCACAAUGCAGCAGGGUCUAGGCAAAAUAUAAUCAUCAGAGUUAGCUGAUUAAUUUGAUUUUCAAAAUGAUCAAGCAUAUUUUAAAAACAAUUUCAGGAUGAUUUGGUGCUGUCUUAAAAAUGCCAAAAUAAAAAUCAGCUGAAAAGCAUAAA
Passer domesticus (house sparrow) is the source of this 2099-nucleotide long non-coding RNA. RefSeq lists it as uncharacterized. Lineage: Eukaryota; Metazoa; Chordata; Aves; Passeriformes; Passeridae. The transcript has 2 exons. The record is from RefSeq and is a predicted model, not a curated record.